UAGGGAAUCUUCCACAAUGGACGAAAGUCUGAUGGAGCAACGCCGCGUGAGUGAUGAAGGGUUUCGGCUCGUAAAACUCUGUUGUUGGAGAAGAACGGGUGUCAGAGUAACUGUUGACAUCGUGACGGUAUCCAACCAGAAAGCCACGGCUAACUACGUGCCAGCAGCCGCGGUAAUACGUAGGUGGCAAGCGUUGUCCGGAUUUAUUGGGCGUAAAGCGAGCGCAGGCGGUUUUUUAGGUCUGAUGUGAAAGCCUUCGGCUUAACCGGAGAAGUGCAUCGGAAACCGGGAGACUUGAGUGCAGAAGAGGACAGUGGAACUCCAUGUGUAGCGGUGAAAUGCGUAGAUAUAUGGAAGAACACCAGUGGCGAAGGCGGCUGUCUGGUCUGCAACUGACGCUGAGGCUCGAAAGCAUGGGUAGCGAACAGGAUUAGAUACCCUGGUAGUCCAUGCCGUAAACGAUGAGUGCUAAGUGUUGGGAGGCUUCCGCCUCUCAGUGCUGCAGCUAACGCAUUAAGCACUCCGCCUGGGGGAGUACGACCGCAAGGUUGAAAC
Molecule: ribosomal RNA, 555 nt
Filed under: uncultured bacterium
Lineage: Bacteria
Description: partial 16S ribosomal RNA
Rfam family: Bacterial small subunit ribosomal RNA
Source: RNAcentral